GCCGGUCAAGCAGCCCUGACAAAUGAUCACUCUGAUUAGCUAGUGAAUCAGUGCAUGGAGACAAGAGCGGUAGUGCGGAACGCAAACAAACAGAGAAAGAAGAAAUGUUAAGAGGUACAUACAGUUUUUGCAUAUUUUUUUACUGCAUUUACAUCGCAUUGCAAGCAUAUUGAUGACAUGACCACCUGGAUGGAAGAAAGUCAAAAGGAAUUCAGCAGCAUGAUUCAGAAGCCACCCUUGUACUCAUAUCAGAGAAUUUGUUUUCAUAAAUGUAGAAUGUUGAUCCAGUUCCUGCUUAGUGGCAAAUGUUUACGUCGCCCAUCCAAAGCAUAGACACAGCCUGAGCACUUCCCUGAGCAACAUUCUGCUACUCCUCCAAAGUCUCCAGCAGUGGAAAAACAAGAAAAGACAAUGUGAAAGCCCAUUUCAGAAUCCAAGUCAGGAGUUCUUUACUUAUGCUAUAAAACUUUUUCUGUUGAAUUACUAUACAGCAUGUGAAUUCUUUUUAGUGUUCCAUGAUGUGAUUUCACAUUUAGUGAGCCUCCCACUUCAUUAUAUGAAAUAAAAAUGCUGUCGGUGACACUCCAAAGUGUCUGGAAAGUGGAUGACUCCAGUUAACCUUUGGAUGAGCAUAUGGCAGCCAACACAAAGCCUGAAACCCUGUCCUAUCGAUACUAUAGUGCUUCACUCCUCCUCCCAAAGAUAAGGUUCUUUCACCACAUGCAGGACGCAGCUGAGAGGUCAGGAGAACAACUGCAAGACAGAGGGGACCGAUGCUGAGCUUCUCAUCGAACUAUUAAUUACCCCGGAACACACACACACACACACACACACACACACACA
Molecule: long non-coding RNA, 843 nt
Organism: Hippocampus comes (tiger tail seahorse)
Lineage: Eukaryota; Metazoa; Chordata; Actinopteri; Syngnathiformes; Syngnathidae
Exons: 3
Source: RefSeq, a predicted model, not a curated record